AGUUUGACUACACUGAGUCCAGCUGAUCUCUGUGUUCAUCUUCCUUAGAGUUUGUUGAACUUACUUCUGGCUUGUUGGAUGUGAAGAUUAACUUUUUAAAAUCACAUUUGGAAAGUUUUGGCCAUUGUUUUUUUCAAAUACUUUUCUGCUUUUUCUCUUCUUUUGACUUCCUUUACAGUCAUAUUGAUAUUCUUGAUGGUACCCCUCAUGUCUCUGAGAUCUGAGGUGGACCAGCAAGAAUCUCAA
Long non-coding RNA from Zalophus californianus (California sea lion), 246 nucleotides. RefSeq lists it as uncharacterized. The transcript has 4 exons. The record is from RefSeq and is a predicted model, not a curated record. Lineage: Eukaryota; Metazoa; Chordata; Mammalia; Carnivora; Otariidae.